This 264-nucleotide ribosomal RNA is filed under the name uncultured bacterium. RNAcentral describes it as "partial 16S ribosomal RNA". It matches the Rfam family "Bacterial small subunit ribosomal RNA", at positions 89 to 354 of the family's 1533-position model. The record is from RNAcentral.
UGGCGACCGGCGCACGGGUGAGUAACACGUAUCCAACCUGCCGAUGACUCGGGGAUAGCCUUUCGAAAGAAAGAUUAAUACCCGAUGGCAUAGUUCUUCCGCAUGGUAGAACUAUUAAAGAAUUUCGGUCAUCGAUGGGGAUGCGUUCCAUUAGCUUGUUGGCGGGGUAACGGCCCAUCAAGGCAUCGAUGGAUAGGGGUUCUGAGAGGAAGGUCCCCCACAUUGGAACUGAGACACGGUCCAAACUCCUACGGAAGGCAGCAG